RNAcentral lists this small RNA (63 nucleotides) under Planococcus rifietoensis. RNAcentral describes it as "Bacillaceae-1 RNA". It matches the Rfam family "Bacillaceae-1 RNA". The record is from Rfam by way of RNAcentral. Lineage: Bacteria; Bacillati; Bacillota; Bacilli; Caryophanales; Caryophanaceae.
CCAAAUGGAAACCAAGCUAAGUGCGCGACGUCCUGUCGCAACGCUUAGCUAACCAAACCCUGC